GACGAACGCUGGCGGCGUGCCUAAUACAUGCAAGUCGAACGCUGAAGGAGGAGCUUGCUUCUCUGGAUGAGUUGCGAACGGGUGAGUAACGCGUAGGUAACCUGCCUGGUAGCGGGGGAUAACUAUUGGAAACGAUAGCUAAUACCGCAUAACAGUCGAUAUCGCAUGAUAUCUACUUGAAAGGUGCAAUUGCAUCACUACCAGAUGGACCUGCGUUGUAUUAGCUAGUUGGUGAGGUAACGGCUCACCAAGGCGACGAGACAUAGCCGACCUGAGAGGGGGAUCUGCCCCACUGGGAAUGAGACACGGCCCAGACUCCUACGGGAGGCAGCAGUAGGGAAUCUUCGGCAAUGGACGGAAGUCUGACCGAGCAACGCCGCGUGAGUGAAGAAGGUUGUCGGAGCGUAAAGAUCUGUUGUAAGAGAAGAAAGAGUGUGAGAGUGGAAAGUUCACACUGUGACGGUAACUUACCAGAAAGGGACGGCUAACUACGUG
This 495-nucleotide ribosomal RNA is filed under the name uncultured bacterium. RNAcentral describes it as "partial 16S ribosomal RNA". It matches the Rfam family "Bacterial small subunit ribosomal RNA", at positions 28 to 507 of the family's 1533-position model. The record is from RNAcentral.